UGCCUAACACAUGCAAGUCGAACGGUAGAGUGCCUAGCUUGCUAGGUGCUUGAGAGUGGCGGACGGGUGAGUAACGCGUAGGAAUCUGCCCUAUAGUGGGGGAUAACACUGGGAAACUAGUGCUAAUACCGCAUAAUUCCCGAGGGGGAAAGGCUAGAAAUAGCCGCUAUUGGAUGAGCCUGCGUCAGAUUAGCUAGUUGGUGGGGUAAAGGCCUACCAAGGCGAAGAUCUGUAGCUGGUCUGAGAGGACGACCAGCCACACUGGGACUGAGACACGGCCCAGACUCCUACGGGAGGCAGCAGUGGGGAAUAUUGGACAAUGGGCGCAAGCAUGAUCCAGCAAUGCCGCGUGUGUGAAGAAGGCCUGCGGGUUUAAAGCAC
This 381-nucleotide ribosomal RNA is filed under the name uncultured organism. RNAcentral describes it as "bacterial SSU rRNA". It matches the Rfam family "Bacterial small subunit ribosomal RNA", at positions 45 to 433 of the family's 1533-position model. The record is from RNAcentral.